AGUGAACGCUGGCGGUAGGCCUAACACAUGCAAGUCGAACGGCAGCACAGUAAGAGCUUGCUCUUACGGGUGGCGAGUGGCGGACGGGUGAGGAAUACAUCGGAAUCUACUUUUUCGUGGGGGAUAACGUAGGGAAACUUACGCUAAUACCGCAUACGACCUACGGGUGAAAGCAGGGGAUCUUCGGACCUUGCGCGAUUGAAUGAGCCGAUGUCGGGUUAGCUAGUUGGCGGGGUAAAGGCCCACCAAGGCGACGAUCCGUAGCUGGUCUGAGAGGAUGAUCAGCCACACUGGAACCGAGACACGGUCCCGACUCCUAAGGGAGGCAGCAGUGGGGAAUAUUGGACAAUGGGCGGAAGCCUGAUCCAGCCAUACCGCGUGGGUGAAGAAGGCCUUCGGGUUGUAAAGCCCUUUUGUUGGGAAAGAAAAGCAGCAGGUUAAUACCCCGCUGUUCUGACGGUACCCAAAGAAUAAGCACCGGCUAACUUCGUG
RNAcentral lists this ribosomal RNA (492 nucleotides) under uncultured bacterium. RNAcentral describes it as "partial 16S ribosomal RNA". It matches the Rfam family "Bacterial small subunit ribosomal RNA", at positions 29 to 507 of the family's 1533-position model. The record is from RNAcentral.